This 102-nucleotide small nuclear RNA is filed under the name Chelydra serpentina (North American snapping turtle). Lineage: Eukaryota; Metazoa; Chordata; Testudines; Chelydridae. The record is from RNAcentral.
UUGCUUCAGCAGCACAUAUACUAAAAAAUUGGGACAAUACAGAGAAGAUUAGCAUAGCCCCCCCACAAGGAUGACAUGCAAAUUGGUGAAGCAUUCCAUUUU